UACGAAGGGGGCUAGCGUUGUUCGGAUUUACUGGGCGUAAAGCGCACGUAGGCGGAUUGUUAAGUCAGGGGUGAAAUCCCGGAGCUCAACUCCGGAACUGCCUUUGAUACUGGCAAUCUUGAGGCUGGAAGAGGUUAGUGGAAUUCCCAGUGUAGAGGUGAAAUUCGUAGAUAUUCGCAAGAACACCAGUGGCGAAGGCGGCUCACUGGCCCGAUACUGACGCUGAGGUGCGAAAGCGUGGGGAGCAAACAGG
Molecule: ribosomal RNA, 253 nt
Filed under: uncultured bacterium
Lineage: Bacteria
Description: partial 16S ribosomal RNA
Rfam family: Bacterial small subunit ribosomal RNA
Source: RNAcentral